Molecule: long non-coding RNA, 843 nt
Organism: Wasmannia auropunctata (little fire ant)
Lineage: Eukaryota; Metazoa; Arthropoda; Insecta; Hymenoptera; Formicidae
Exons: 3
Source: RefSeq, a predicted model, not a curated record
CCGCCAGCCGGCGAUCUUCCGUACAUACAAUCGACAGCUCUCGCGCGCGCCUUCGCGACACCGCUCCGAGAAUCGGAGCACGCUGGGUAGCUUCCUCUCCUCGUCCUGCCACGUGAUCGCGUCUCGAUAAUCGAAAAUUGACUGAAUCGUAGAUUCGCGUCGCGUCGCGUUGCUCCAGUCCUGUCGUUUUUUCGCGACAGAACUCGCGUGGCAGCGUGGAAGCCUGCGCCUGUCGCGCUUUUAUUAUACGGCCGCCAUUUCUGUUUUCCGGGACCGUUUGGAUUUCCCGCAACAGUGCCUCGCGGGAAUUGAUGGCUACGACAGCUACGAAGACCGGCGGAAGACCAGCGGGGCAGAUGGAGAAGGGGAGGGAGAGAGAAAGAGCCGCAGGAAGACGUCGUGACAGCCAGCUGUCAUUGAAAACGCCACCGAGUAGAGAGUCGAGAAGCCCCUGAGGAUAAGUCUCUCGCGGAUACUCUAACCAGGACCAAAGAACUAUUCCAUGAAGGCCUGCGUGGUUGCGACGGGUGCGUGCGACGUGCGUGCAUUCCCGCGGCGCGGUACGGCGGACGUCGGCCCUGGCGGUUUCGAGAGAACGAGAUUGUAAGUCUCUUUCUGCUUCCGUAUAAUUAUACGAACUCGACUUUUGUAGGUAAAAACACGUUCCGCGCGCGUGAUCCGUGAAUCACGCUUUGGAAACUUCCGUUAAUUUCGGACAAUGGGAUCGCAAUGAGAUAAUUUUACGCUUCUUACUACGAAAUUGUUGGGAGGGCUUACAUUCUUAGGCGAGCGCGCUCGCCUAAGAAUGUAGACCAAUUUUUUUGUAAUUAGAUCGACCAAAAA